This 760-nucleotide ribosomal RNA is filed under the name uncultured Planctomycetota bacterium. RNAcentral's name for it is "bacterial SSU rRNA". It matches the Rfam family "Bacterial small subunit ribosomal RNA", at positions 56 to 826 of the family's 1533-position model. The record is from RNAcentral. Lineage: Bacteria; Pseudomonadati; Planctomycetota.
UGCAAGUCGAGCGAGAAGGUCUUUUUGCUUGCAUUAAGACUGGACAGCGGCGAAAGGGUGAGUAACGCGUAGUUACCUGCCCCGGGGUCCGGAAUAGCCACGGGAAACUGUGGGUAAUGCCGGAUAACAUCUACGGAUCAAAGGUGUGAUUCCGCCCCGGGAGGGGACUGCGUCCUACUAGCUUGUUGGUGGGGUAACGGCCUACCAAGGCUCCGAUGGGUAGCGGGCGUGAGAGCGUGGCCCGUCACACUGGGACUGAGACACUGCCCAGACACCUACGGGUGGCUGCAGUCGAGAAUCUUCGGCAAUGGACGAAAGUCUGACCGAGCAAUGCCGCGUGCGGGAUGAAGGCCCUCGGGUUGUAAACCGCGAAAGUGAGGAGGAAGGGCCCGUGAAGAGCGGGUCUUGACCGAUCCACAGUAAGGACGGGCUAAGUUCGUGCCAGCAGCCGCGGUAACACGAACCGUCCAAACGUUAUUCGGAAUCAUUGGGCUUAAAGGGUGCGUAGGCGGCGCAUUAAGUCGGGUGUGAAAUCCCUCGGCUCAACCGAGGAACUGCGCCCGAUACUGAUGUGCUUGAGGGAGACAGGGGUGAGCGGAACUGAUGGUGGAGCGGUGAAAUGCGUUGAUAUCAUCAGGAACACCGGUGGCGAAAGCGGCUCACUGGGUCUCUUCUGACGCUGAGGCACGAAAGCUAGGGUAGCGAACGGGAUUAGAUACCCCGGUAGUCCUAGCCGUAAACGUUGAGCACUUGGUCGAGG